AAUUAAAUAAUUCCCCACAACUAAUUUAUCGGCCCAAGGAUUUAAUUAAUUUGGCCCAAGAAUUAAAAGUGACCCACAACAACUCAUGCCCAAAACAAUUAAAGUGUUGACCCAAAAAGAAAUAAAAGAACUUUAUACUCCCACCUUUAAACACACGUACACCAUGAUUCAUCACAAACCACUUUGUAAAGUAAAAAAAAAAGGAAUAUUAAAAGAAUAAAACAAUUUAGGAAUCCAUUACUCCCAUUCCCAAUUCAUCGUGUAUUCUCUCCCCCUCCUUUCUCAAAACAGAAUACGCCAAGAUUUUUCAAGAAUCCCCAAAUCCUCUCUCAUUUCUUUCCCAAGUUAAGCUUAAACAUAUAGACAAAAUGAAUAGGAAAUAAAAGCUCCGUCGCCCUCAAGCUCUCGCCGACCCUUCUCUCUCACCACAUCUAAAACGAGAUUUCCAAUUUUCCUGCUGCGGAUCGCCGUCGCACUGCACCAAUCGACCGGUCACUGCCGCUACUUCCUUCGUCGGCCCACUGGGCGGCCUCGGUCCUCCCCGAUUAGCCCCGUUUCCCAAUUAAAGAUUUCAUGAUAUGCACAAGAAUGGAAUAGGAAUGGGGUGGAAGAAGUGUAUACCUUUGUUGCAAAGAGUUGCAGGAAAACAAUUUGGGGACUCUCGGCUCUCUUACUCGAACUAUUUCUUCUCAACUGUGAUUUCAAGAAUUGGUAUCAUGGAAUUAAAAUAUGGAGGUUCGUAUUCAUGGGAUUGUGAAGAAAUUACCUUUGUUGGAUAGACAACCACAUAUCAAACUGGAGUCUCGGUUUCUCUCUAUUUUUUUCAGAUUUUUUUAUAGAAUGAGGAAACUGAUUUGUGAAGGGAAUAUUAUAGAGAGGAGGUGGUUGAUAGAUAUGGGAGAGAUUCAUGGAAGAGAGGAGCGGUUUUUCUAACGUGGGCUGAGGAGGUGUGAUUUUCGAAUCAAUCUUUUUUUUUGGGAUCAACUUAGAAUUUAUUUGUUAUUUAUUUGCAGAUCACGGAGGAGGAUAAUCUCUAUAGAAUCUUUAUUUAAUAUUUCAGCUUCUUAAAAAAAAAAAAAUUCCAUAGGCUCUCAAAAUAAAACGGAACGAUAGUUGGCUAAAAAAAA
Salvia splendens (bonfire salvia) is the source of this 1127-nucleotide long non-coding RNA. RefSeq lists it as uncharacterized. The record is from RefSeq and is a predicted model, not a curated record. NCBI's taxonomy places the organism in Eukaryota, Viridiplantae, Streptophyta, Magnoliopsida, Lamiales, Lamiaceae. The transcript has 2 exons.